RNAcentral lists this ribosomal RNA (450 nucleotides) under uncultured organism. RNAcentral's name for it is "partial 16S ribosomal RNA". It matches the Rfam family "Bacterial small subunit ribosomal RNA", at positions 333 to 799 of the family's 1533-position model. The record is from RNAcentral.
ACACUCCUGCGGGAGGCAGCAGUGGGGAAUAUUGGACAAUGGGCGCAAGCCUGAUCCAGCCAUGCCGCGUGAGUGAUGAAGGCCCUAGGGGUGUAAAGCUCUUUCACCGGUGAAGAUAAUGACGGUAACCGGAGAAGAAGCCCCGGCUAACUUCGUGCCAGCAGCCGCGGUAAUACGAAGGGGGCUAGAGUUGUUCGGAUUUACUGGGCGUAAAGCGCACGUAGGCGGACUAUUAAGUCAGGGGUGAAAUCCCGGGGCUCAACCCCGGAACUGCCUUUGAUACUGGUAGGCUUGAGUUCGAGAGAGGUGAGUGGAAUUCCGAGUGUAGAGGUGAAAUUCGUAGAUAUUCGGAGGAACACCAGUGGCGAAGGCGGCUCACUGGCUCGAUACUGACGCUGAGGUGCGAAAGCGUGGGGAGCAAACAGGAUUAGAUACCCCUGUAGUCCCAUG